Molecule: non-coding RNA, 458 nt
Organism: Biomphalaria pfeifferi
Lineage: Eukaryota; Metazoa; Mollusca; Gastropoda; Planorbidae
Source: the annotation of a GenBank genome assembly
UAUAGACACAUUGGGAUGGUAUAGACACAUUGGGAUGGUAAACUAACCAAACAAAAAGGCUGAUCUAAUGAAAGAAAACCUGUUUACAAACUCUAUCAGAAUCUAAGUAGUUGGACAAGUGGGUGUGGCUGAAAGAAACUACAAAAGAUACCAAUAAAUCAAUGAACUUAAGACUCAGUAGUAAAAAAAAAGUUCUUAAGUAUUAUAAUAUAACUAAUCUAAAUGCCAGUGAAUAAAGUGUGUGCACUACUAGGACCUACAUUGAGAAGUCCCAUCUAAUUAAUCAUAGAAUAGAAAUGCUAGAUAAUACUUUAAAAAAAAAAAGCAGUAGUACAAGGGAUAUCACACAAAUAGUACAAGAAAUAACACACAAAUAGUACAAGAAAUAACACACAAAUAGUACAAGGGAUAUCACACAAAUAGUACAAGAAAUAACACACAAAUAGUACAAGAAAUAA